Molecule: ribosomal RNA, 511 nt
Filed under: Austrobalanus imperator
Lineage: Eukaryota; Metazoa; Arthropoda; Thecostraca; Balanomorpha; Tetraclitidae
Description: partial 16S rRNA
Rfam family: Bacterial large subunit ribosomal RNA
Source: RNAcentral
UUCCUCCUGAUUGAAGGAGGUAAGACCUGCUCACUGAAAAUUAAAGAGCCGCAGUAUACUGACUGUGCUAAGGUAGCAUAAUCAUUAGUCUUUUAAUUGGAGACUGGUAUGAAUGGUUAAACGAGAGAUCAGCUUUUUUUAUUAUAGAUAUUGAAUUUAACUUUUUAGUGAAAAGGCUAAAAUGGGUCAGAAAGACGAGAAGACCCUAUAGAGUUUUAUAUAAGGAAGAAUCUCUUCUUCUUGGAUUUUUUAAGAAGAUGUUUGGGAUUAUAUUUUGUUGGGGCGACAUUUAGAUAAAAGAAACUCUUUUUGAAAGAAACUUUUAUAAAAGGAAGGUUUGAUCCCCUGUAAGGGAUCAUAAGAAAAAAUUACCUUAGGGAUAACAGCGUAAUCUUUUUUGAGAGUUCUAAUCGACAAAAAGGUUUGCGACCUCGAUGUUGGACUAAAAUUUGGGCAGGGUGCAGCAGUUCUGCUUUAGGGUCUGUUCGACCCGUAAUAUUUUACAUGAUCU